AGAGUUUGAUCAUGGCUCAGAUUGAACGCUGGCGGCAGGCCUAACACAUGCAAGUCGAACGGUAACAGGAAACAGCUUGCUGUUUCGCUGACGAGUGGCGGACGGGUGAGUAAUGUCUGGGAAACUGCCUGAUGGAGGGGGAUAACUACUGGAAACGGUAGCUAAUACCGCAUAACGUCGCAAGACCAAAGAAGGGGACCUUCGGGCCUCUUGCCAUCAGAUGUGCCCAGAUGGGAUUAGCUAGUAGGUGGGGUAACGGCUCACCUAGGCGACGAUCCCUAGCUGGUCUGAGAGGAUGACCAGCCACACUGGAACUGAGACACGGUCCAGACUCCUACGGGAGGCAGCAGUGGGGAAUAUUGCACAAUGGGCGCAAGCCUGAUGCAGCCAUGCCGCGUGUAUGAAGAAGGCCUUCGGGUUGUAAAGUACUUUCAGCGGGGAGGAAGGGAGUAAAGUUAAUACCUUUGCUCAUUGACGUUACCCGCGGAAGAAGCACCGGCUAACUCCGUGCCAGCAGCCGCGGUAAUACGGAGGGUGCAAGCGUUAAUCGGAAUUACUGGGCGUAAUGCGCACGCAGGCGGUUUGUUAAGUCAGAUGUGAAAUCCCCGGGCUCAACCUGGGAACUGCAUCUGAUACUGGCAAGCUUGAGUCUCGUAGAGGGGGGUAGAAUUCCAGGUGUAGCGGUGAAAUGCGUAGAGAUCUGGAGGAAUACCGGUGGCGAAGGCGGCCCCCUGGACGAAGACUGACGCUCAGGUGCGAAAGCGUGGGGAGCAAACAGGAUUAGAUACCCUGGUAGUCCACGCCGUAAACGAUGUCGACUUGGAGGUUGUGCCCUUGAGGCGUGGCUUCCGGAGCUAACGCGUUAAGUCGACCGCCUGGGGAGUAAGGCCGCAAGGUUAAAACUCAAAUGAAUUGACGGGGGCCCGCACAAGCGGUGGAGCAUGUGGUUUAAUUCGAUGCAACGCGAAGAACCUUACCUGGUCUUGACAUCCACGGAAGUUUUCAGAGAUGAGAAUGUGCCUUCGGGAACCGUGAGACAGGUGCUGCAUGGCUGUCGUCAGCUCGUGUUGUGAAAUGUUGGGUUAAGUCCCGCAACGAGCGCAACCCUUAUCCUUUGUUGCCAGCGGUCCGGCCGGGAACUCAAAGGAGACUGCCAGUGAUAAACUGGAGGAAGGUGGGGAUGACGUCAAGUCAUCAUGGCCCUUACGACCAGGGCUACACACGUGCUACAAUGGCGCAUACAAAGAGAAGCGACCUCGCGAGAGCAAGCGGACCUCAUAAAGUGCGUCGUAGUCCGGAUUGGAGUCUGCAACUCGACUCCAUGAAGUCGGAAUCGCUAGUAAUCGUGGAUCAGAAUGCCACGGUGAAUACGUUCCCGGGCCUUGUACACACCGCCCGUCACACCAUGGGAGUGGGUUGCAAAAGAAGUAGGUAGCUUAACCUUCGGGAGGGCGCUUACCACUUUGUGAUUCAUGACUGGGGUGAAGUCGUAACAAGGUAACCGUAGGGGUACCUGCGGUUG
RNAcentral lists this ribosomal RNA (1522 nucleotides) under metagenome. RNAcentral describes it as "bacterial SSU rRNA". It matches the Rfam family "Bacterial small subunit ribosomal RNA". The record is from RNAcentral.